RNAcentral lists this microRNA precursor (96 nucleotides) under Pan troglodytes (chimpanzee). RNAcentral's name for it is "miRNA (ENSPTRG00000045840.1)". Lineage: Eukaryota; Metazoa; Chordata; Mammalia; Primates; Hominidae. The record is from RNAcentral.
UGAGGCAGGAGAAUUGCUUGAACCCAGGAAAUGGAGGCUGCAGUGAGCCGAGAUCUCGCCACUGCACUCCAGCCUGGGUGACAGAGCAAGACUCCA